UACGGCCCGCGGGAUUGCGACAUUGCCGUGGUGCUGGACAGGAUAUCAAGGCAGGAACUUUGGAUAUGGAUUACUUCUGUCUCGGCUGUCACGUGGAAAUUAUGGGUCCGUGUAUGGAACAUCCGCUUUCCUUUGGAAGUUUAUGCAAUCACGAAUGCAAGAAUGAACUUCUAGCAACAAGUUACAGCAUUGGCGAGGACGAUAUUUACGUAAGCGCUUU
This is a long non-coding RNA of Daphnia pulicaria, 220 nucleotides long. RefSeq lists it as uncharacterized. The transcript has 3 exons. NCBI's taxonomy places the organism in Eukaryota, Metazoa, Arthropoda, Branchiopoda, Diplostraca, Daphniidae. The record is from RefSeq and is a predicted model, not a curated record.